CCUGCCUCAAAGAGGGGGACAACAGUUGGAAACGACUGCUAAUACCGCAUAAGCCCACGGGUCGGCAUCGACCAGGGGGAAAAGGAGCAAUCCGCUUUGAGAUGGCCUCGCGUCCGAUUAGCUAGUUGGUGAGGUAACGGCCCACCAAGGCAACGAUCGGUAGCCGGACUGAGAGGUUGAACGGCCACAUUGGGACUGAGACACGGCCCAGACUCCUACGGGAGGCAGCAGUGGGGAAUAUUGCACAAUGGGGGAAACCCUGAUGCAGCGACGCCGCGUGGAGGAAGAAGGUCUUCGGAUUGUAAACUCCUGUUGUUGAGGAAGAUAAUGACGGUACUCAACAAGGAAGUGACGGCUAACUACGUGCCAGCAGCCGCGGUAAAACGUAGGUCACAAGCGUUGUCCGGAAUUACUGGGUGUAAAGGGAGCGCAGGCGGGAAGACAAGUUGGAAGUGAAAUCCAUGGGCUCAACCCAUGAACUGCUUUCAAAACUGUUUUUCUUGAGUAGUGCAGAGGUAGGCGGAAUUCCCGGUGUAGCGGUGGAAUGCGUAGAUAUCGGGAGGAACACCAGUGGCGAAGGCGGCCUACUGGGCACCAACUGACGCUGAGGCUCGAAAGUGUGGGUAGCAAACAGGAUUAGAUACCCUGGUAGUCCACACCGUAAACGAUGAUUAAUAGGUGUUGGAGGAUUGACCCCUUCAGUGCCGCAG
RNAcentral lists this ribosomal RNA (710 nucleotides) under uncultured bacterium. Its description in RNAcentral is "bacterial SSU rRNA". It matches the Rfam family "Bacterial small subunit ribosomal RNA", at positions 125 to 851 of the family's 1533-position model. The record is from RNAcentral.